Molecule: non-coding RNA, 6107 nt
Organism: Gasterosteus aculeatus aculeatus (three-spined stickleback)
Lineage: Eukaryota; Metazoa; Chordata; Actinopteri; Perciformes; Gasterosteidae
Source: RefSeq, a predicted model, not a curated record
GCACAAGCGGCGGGCGAGUGCACCGGGAUAUCAGACGUGCCGUUACCCACACCGGACACCCGGGCGAGCUGAAAACUUUCAGACAUUCUUUCAGUCCACUCGUGACCUUCUCGCUUGCGUUUUCAAAGCUGCCGGUGAACCCGCCCUCGACUUCCUCCCGCAUAGUUAACGGAAAAUGCGGAAAUGUCACGCGAGAAGGUCGCGCUCAUCGUCUAUUGAUGUGAUAAAGGUUAAUAAAUAUACCGGGAAGCCACUCAGGUGGAGACAGCUCUCCUGGGGCACCUGUUUUCCAUUCUAAUUACGCACUUUCGCCUUUGUGAGGGACAACACUCAACUUGCAUUGUCUUUUCAUUGCCUUUCGAGUGCCCAAUUAGUUGUGUGAUGUUUGAAGUGGGUGGCGUGGAGGCACCUCGAGGACUAAUUUAUUUGUGGCAGACCUACACUGUUGACUGACACCGCUGGCCAUGGAUGACGACCUCCGUUAAUUGCAUUUUUGGAGGAGGCAGUUAGCUGGUGCUCUUUGAAAGAGGUUUUUCUAGAGGACGAUCUUGGACCCAGCAAAGUGCCCUUUAUCUGGACCACGGAAACAUUUCCCCGUUAGCUUUCGUUAGCUUUUGGGCUGUUUGAGCCGCACUUAUCCAGGUGUGAAAGAGCAUUUGGAAAAAACGAGACACUCUUCUAGUGUAAUGUUGAUUUAUCUGUCAGUAAAGGUGUACUGCUGACACAGUUAACACUCAGUUAACUCUUACUUUGCAUUUGACAGCCGCAACUUUCAACGUUUUAAAAAUGGGACCUUUUACGCUUCAUACCGGCGCUUGACAAGAUACAGGUGGCUGACGGUUGGAACGCCAGGCUUCACGGCUAAUAUGAGAUCAUGGCUGAUGCCUGAGCUCGUGCCCUCCGGGUGGCAUACGGAAAAGAGGAAUGUAGUCCUCACACUCCAAGACAUCUCAGAACGUUCCUAAUUGGCAUAGCCUCCAAUAUAACACUAUUUUUCACCUCUCUUUUGUCUUUCUCAGAGCCUGGAAGUAUAAAAAAAGGCAAUAAGGUGGGACAACGGAUAAAUCAGGAUUAGCUCUUGGGGGUUACUGCUAAGAACGUUGGGUUCUGAUUGAGCAGCCUGCCAUAAACCUUCACUAAGUACUGCACGGACUCGUGGGCGCCUCAGAGGACAGCAACGGCAUCCUUAGCUGUCCCUGAAAGCUCGUCAAACCCCACUUCUCCACACGACAGCUGGAGCCAGCUACGCCGCAUCAGUGGUCGCGGUGUCGUCUGUCAUCACCACCAGGCCUGCAGGGAGAAAACUCCAGCAAGGGCAAAAAGCUGAGGAGUAACAAGGAUGAGAGGACUUGAGGGGGAGGUGGGAGCGGAGCCAGAGGCGUCAACGAGGAGGUCUUGACUUAUUUUUAACCCUAAUUUAUAGAAGCAGAGGGCGAUUUUUACACGUAAAAGUACGUGGUUAUUAGUUUCAACAGCUUGCCUACAAUUGACAGCGCCUCUUCCACUUCAGCCUCUCCCGCUCUGCCAGGCUUCCAUGCAAACUCAUAAUCUGAGGCGAAAACUCAGAGUUUGAGUGCAAAGACCAGGCAGGGUGCCGAAGUAUUUACCAGAUGCCACAUAUAUCAUGCUGAACUUAUGUGGAAAGGGUGUCACACAAAAGACUAUUCUGUCACAUGAAAAAUCUACGCUAGAUAAUAUUUACAGUUGCACCAUAUUGCCUAUUUCUAGAGUCUGCGAUCUGUCAUUUGUCUUGCUGGUGGUUUGUUUUGAUUUCAACAAAGAAAUUCCAUCCCAAAGCGAUCCUCAAAGCGCUAUUUCACCAUCUCUCUUCCAUUUUGUGAAUAUCAAAGAUGAAAACAGAUGCUGAGGCUUUAUAUUUGACUGUCACCAUGAGUAAGAGAGGUUCCAUAUUCAAAUUUAUGCAGCAAACAAGUGACUGGGGAGGGACUGUCCUUCCAUCAGUUUCUCAUAUCUACUACCCAGGGCAAUGUGCAGAGCUCUGAUGGGUGUAGAAACAUAAUUACAGACCUGAUGCAUACGCUUAAAACUCCCCUCCUUCGACUUAACAAGCUCGGUCUCAAGGCGCAAACUGUUUCUGAUUUACAUAUGCCAACUUUUCUGUGCAGAUUAUAGAACGUUUUUCUGUGUUGUGAAUCUUUGAUCUCAGCUUUUACUCCCUUGUCUUCUUUUGCAUUUUUGCCCUUUUCGACGAAAAUAGUCAACCGCAUAUACAUAUACAUGCAUAAUGUUUCCACUGGAUACGUUUUAUGUACGUUUCAUAACAGCCUCUUUUUAGAAACACAGAACGCCUCGCUUCUCUAACUCCAUUUUCCACAGCCUCAAUGGCUACUGUCUCUGUGGAAAGCUCUUUAUGGGUCUCUACAAGAAUAAUCACUCUGCUCCUGACUGACUCAAAGGUCAGCUCCAUCCCCCAGGCAACAGAAUAUCGUUUGUGACAGGAGCCACACCAGUUUGAAUCACUUGACCAGUUGAACAGGAGCUGGUAAGACGCACCAACCAAACCUUUGACAGAAUAGAUUCUAAUUCAUGACGUUUUUUCAGACUUGCAAAUGUUGCAUCGUGAAAUCGCCACUUCAUAAUGUCAGCAAUGACAUUCACGACAUGCAUAAUGCAAAGGACACACCGAUGCAGAGAUGCCGACGCCCGUGCUCAAUAUGGUGGUGAUCAUCUAGAAUACUUCAUUGUAACAUUCAAGGUACACAUAAUUUACGGCAGUAAGAACUGCACAGCUUUUGAGCAGUCGUGUGAGGGUCUGAACUGUUGCGUCAUUUCACAGCAAAGAGGACACACACACACACACGUCUUCAUCAGCAUUCAUACGACAAAUCUUUCCCUGCCUGCACAACCCAACCUACAAAAUAGGUUUUUCAAGAACGGAACACAUUACAUAUGCAUCCUCUUGAAGAACAGAGGCUCUGAAUAGAUCCCCACAAGAUAGACCUCUAACCGAAGAGACCAUGCAUGUUCAAUAGAACUCUUGAAACUAAGUAAGGGCAAAUUGCAGGCCAAAUGGUACAGAAGGGGAAUAGCAGAGUGGCUUCGAGUGUUGACCCAAUUCUACUGCCAAUAUCCUUGGCAGAAGAAGUGCCUUUUGUCUGCACCCUCAAACAGCGGAAUAUGAUCAAUUUCAGCCUUCAUUUUCUUUGCCACAGCUGAGGAAGGAUUUGUGUCAAAGGCGUCUCUUGUUUGAAGGCAUGAGAGAGCGCGCUGAUGAGAAAGAGCCUGUUUACUACUGUACACGCCAGCCUGGGAGGGAAAUCUCUGCGAUGACGCGACGGAGCUUUGAAGUCUGCUGAUGGUUUGAUGUUGCAGCAGUCCAGUAGCUUACCGAGCCAUGAGGAGCCUGUGCUUUCCCCCGAGGGCUGUAUCACCUAUAAAAUAACCGUCCCGUUCAGCAACACUGCAGUAAAUACGGUUUGAAAUGUAUUUUCUCACCACCAGAAAAAGCUACAAAACCCAAUGUCAAUGCAAUGUCAAAUGCAAACAUAGUCACUUGACCUUAAAAUGUAACAAUGCUGUUUUGUUGUAGCGGAGCUCAAUUUUCAGGAGACCAGGCCGCGUGUCACACAGACAGGCAAAAAAAGGACCAUAAAUUAGGGCAAUAAUAAGUUCCCCGCUAUUCAGCUCCCUUCUUAUCCCGUCCUGCCGAGAAAGAAACUGAGCAAAAUAAUCCAAUCACGGCUUUUCCAUGGAUUCCAUUUGCUUUUAAUUGCCUUGUCCGUGCUUUGGAGGUCGCUCGCCACACUGGAGAGACGGGGAAGGGCGCUGGCGGCUAAAUCUACGAAAUGGCUCCAAUUCCCGGCGGGAUUACCAGCGUCGCCUCCAAAGCCGUCACCCUCGGUGGAGCACCGGAGCCCCACAGCCCGUCCGAUGCCGUUUUAUCGCGCAGCGCUGUGGGCCGUCCUGCACCGCUGCCAGUGUGUUGUUUUGUGCGCUGAAGCCAGAGGCGUUUAUAUACAUCUCUAUUUUUAGUGUUGUACCGCUUUGUUGAAGUUAUUGGGCACCAAAGAGCCAGCAGUGUCUCCGCCGUGCAUGGAGAUCCUAGCGCACAACUGAAAAGAAGGUUCCCUCAAGGGUUCUUUUUUGUUCUGCGACUUGAACGAGGCCUUACUCUUCACAUUGCAGCCUGAUUUAAUUGAUAACGGCCUCGAGCGGGAAAAACCAUUUCAGUGUGCUGAUAGGCUUCAUUAGCUUUAGUUGUUACUUAGUCAGGUUUUAAAUGUAUUGUCCCCUGACAAAAGAUCGCUGGGUAGUUUAUUUCCUUUUUUUCCUCCACCCACCCGCCUCUUCUUCCCAGAGGCUGCAUUUGGCGUUUGAAGGCGAAGCAGCUUUUACAGCUGCGCCUAUGUGGAGAAGAAGAACGAGUCAAAGUGGUGGUGGAAUAAAUGUAGCAGCAGCAAAAGCACGAGGAGCAGAACGUUGAGUGGGGUAUGCUGUCUGCGCUGUGUGUAUCCAGAUAAAAGGGAUUUUUCGGUGGAAAAACAUUCAUUAUACAUUCACGAAACCCCGAGUAAAAAAACAGAACCCCUACAAAGAGAUUACAGAACAGAGAGGGAGCUUCAGAGGAGCAGCAAGUGGGGCACCAUGUAUUUACACACACAGACCACGUUCUCCACGGGGCAAUUAUGGGAAAACCUUCAGGUCUCAAUAUCAAAUCAAAUCUGCGCUGAAAAUUUGUAUUUAAAAACAUGGCAUCGAUUUGUGAUUUUACAGAUACCGUAAGUAGCCCAGCACGGUUUGAUUCUAAUCUAACAUGGAGAAGCAGCGUUCACUUUUUCUGCUCCGCAUAUCUGGAACAAAGUCCCAGAAAGCUGCAGGUCUGCUGAGUCCCUCAGCUCCUUUAAAUCCAGAUUAAGGGAUUUUCUGUUCGCUGCUGCCUUUAAUUGACCGAUUGUGCAAUUAAAGACAUUCUUAAACUACACUGCAAAUUUUAUUCUAUUCUUAAUCUUUUGACUCUUUUAUGCUUUUAAUGACUGUUUUUUUCUUUUAUGUUUUGAAUUAAUGUUCUUAACUGUUUGCAUAUUUUUAAUAGUUUUAUGUGAAUUGCCUUGUUGUUGAAAGACGCCUUACAAACAAAACUUCCCUGAUGUGCUAAUGGCUGCAGAGAAAAGCAGAAUCUUCUGUUCCACUCAAAAGCUGCUGCGCUGGAGGCAGAGGAACAUGAAGCUUUCCCAGAGACGUUAUGUUCUUGCCAAACAGUGCGCUGCCUUUCUGCCACCUCCCUGCUGAGAGUGUUCUCCUCUGCACAGCUGCCUGCUUCUGCCCCCCAACACGUACGAUCCUCUGCGGAUCCGGAUUUCCAGGCUUCGAGAACGUUGACUGGUGAGAUAUUUUCAAGCCAUUUCCUCUGAGCUCGUGUUCCGUCAGAUGAGAGACGGAGAGAAUGAAAUCAUAGACAAAAGCCCGGCUUCCUUCUGGGCUUUCCAAAUGAAAGAGACCUCCAUCUUCACUUCAAGGGCCGAGCGAGAGGAGGCGGAUGAAAGAGCAGCUGGGUUUUACUGAGGCAUCUGAACUCUGCGCGCUCUCGCCAUGCGGGAUAUCGGCCGCAGGAACUGAUGUAACAUUUAGGGUUUGCUCGCAAAGCACACGCACCUGUGCAGGUAAAUCAGCGAAUAGAUAACUCCACUGAUUAGAGGUUUGUUCCCGCGUUAGAACAGCUCCACCAUCCGAAACAGCGGCGUAAUUCUCACAGCUACACAAACAUUGGUUGUACUUUGGAAAGUGUCGUUGAAGAGUCCUUUGAAAUAUGAGGAGUUUACAUGUUUGCUGAAGGUUGGUAGGAGGUGGGCGGUGAACUGAGCUGAGUUUUAGGUCCCUCCUUUGCCUUUAAAAAAUAUCUGCUGCUUUUUAUGUCAAAAGCAUCAAGUUUGGUACUUCAAAGGUGAAAUUUGACUACUUCCAUACUUUUCGCCCUCUCAUCGAAUUGCUGUUCUAAUGUGUCCUUUUUGCAUAUACCUGUGUAGCUUUAAUGUAAUGUGUGGUUCUAGUCACAAAUUUGCCCAAAGGUGUCUACUUUUCACUACAUAAAUGAAUGUAACAUAAAAAUAUGUUGUCCGUAUUGUUUGAAUAAAGCUGGUACUCAUGUA